GGUUUUCUGGGAUCUGGCUACUAUACCUGUCAACAUGGUCAGAAUGUUUGUGGCUGUUCUGGGUGGCUAGACUGGUGUUCCUUUCCUCACUCCCCAUCCCAUAUGUAUUCCUCCUCAGGCUGCACACUUUGUCAAAGAAGACAAUCUUCAAGAAAGAAAGACCAUUCCCUAGUCAAGGGUAUAUGAAUAACUGACUUCUCACAUUAAAACCCUCAAAGAAACUCCCAGGGUUUACUUUUAAAAUUAAUCAGCUUAUUGUUCCUUAUCAUAAAAUGUUCUAGGUCCAUUGUAAUUGUUUAGGUUGGCAUUCCUA
This 313-nucleotide small nuclear RNA is filed under the name Microtus ochrogaster (prairie vole). RNAcentral describes it as "7SK RNA (ENSMOCG00000011040.1)". It matches the Rfam family "7SK RNA". From Rfam's summary of the family: 7SK was discovered as an abundant small nuclear RNA in the mid-70s but a possible function has only recently been suggested. Two independent studies have found that 7SK RNA binds the CDK9/cyclin T complex (known as elongation factor P-TEFb). P-TEFb activates transcription by phosphorylating the C-terminal domain of RNA polymerase II. Lineage: Eukaryota; Metazoa; Chordata; Mammalia; Rodentia; Cricetidae. The record is from RNAcentral.